UACGGAGGGGACUAGCGUUGUUCGGAAUUACUGGGCGUAAAGCGCACGUAGGCGGAUUUGUUAGUCAGGGGUGAAAUCCCGAGGCUCAACCUCGGAACUGCCUUUGAUACUGCAAAUCUCGAGUCCGGAAGAGGUGAGUGGAAUUCCUAGUGUAGAGGUGAAAUUCGUAGAUAUUAGGAAGAACACCAGUGGCGAAGGCGGCUCACUGGUCCGGUACUGACGCUGAGGUGCGAAAGCGUGGGGAGCAAACGGG
This 253-nucleotide ribosomal RNA is filed under the name uncultured bacterium. RNAcentral describes it as "partial 16S ribosomal RNA". It matches the Rfam family "Bacterial small subunit ribosomal RNA", at positions 524 to 776 of the family's 1533-position model. The record is from RNAcentral.